RNAcentral lists this ribosomal RNA (253 nucleotides) under uncultured bacterium. RNAcentral describes it as "partial 16S ribosomal RNA". It matches the Rfam family "Bacterial small subunit ribosomal RNA", at positions 524 to 776 of the family's 1533-position model. The record is from RNAcentral.
UACGUAGGGUGCGAGCGUUAAUCGGAAUUACUGGGCGUAAAGCGUGCGCAGGCGGCUUUGCAAGACAGAUGUGAAAUCCCCGGGCUCAACCUGGGAACUGCAUUUGUGACUGCAAGGCCAGAGUACGGCAGAGGGGGAUGGAAUUCCGCGUGUAGCAGUGAAAUGCGUAGAUAUGCGGAGGAACACCAAUGGCGAAGGCAAUCCCCUGGGCCUGUACUGACGCUCAUGCACGAAAGCGUGGGGAGCAAACAGG